RNAcentral lists this ribosomal RNA (425 nucleotides) under uncultured bacterium. RNAcentral describes it as "bacterial SSU rRNA". It matches the Rfam family "Bacterial small subunit ribosomal RNA", at positions 356 to 773 of the family's 1533-position model. The record is from RNAcentral.
GGGGAAUUUUGGACAAUGGGCGCAAGCCUGAUCCAGCCAUGCCGCGUGUGGGAAGAAGGCCUUCGGGUUGUAAACCACUUUUGUCAGGGAAGAAACGGCUCUUACUAAUAUUAGGGGCUAAUGACGGUACCUGAAGAAUAAGCACCGGCUAACUACGUGCCAGCAGCCGCGGUAAUACGUAGGGUGCAAGCGUUAAUCGGAAUUACUGGGCGUAAAGCGUGCGCAGGCGGCUUUGCAAGACAGAUGUGAAAUCCCCGGGCUCAACCUGGGAACUGCAUUUGUGACUGCAUGGCUAGAGUACGGUAGAGGGGGAUGGAAUUCCGCGUGUAGCAGUGAAAUGCGUAGAUAUGCGGAGGAACACCGAUGGCGAAGGCAAUCCCCUGGACCUGUACUGACGCUCAUGCACGAAAGCGUGGGGAGCAAAC